AGGAAGUGGUGUAGUGGGAGCACUAAGA
RNAcentral lists this transfer RNA (28 nucleotides) under Xiphophorus hellerii (green swordtail). RNAcentral's name for it is "partial tRNA-Gln". RNAcentral also lists the same sequence under 16 other names. The record is from RNAcentral. Lineage: Eukaryota; Metazoa; Chordata; Actinopteri; Cyprinodontiformes; Poeciliidae.